UGGCUCAGAACGAACGCUGGCGGCAGGCCUAACACAUGCAAGUCGAGCGCCCCGCAAGGGGAGCGGCAGACGGGAGAGUAACACGUGGGAACGUGCCCUUCAGUUCGGAACAACCCAGGGAAACUUGGGCUGAUACCGGAUACGUCCGUAAGGAGAAAGAUUUAUCGCUGAAGGAUCGGCCCGCGUCUGAUUAGCUAGUUGGUGGGGUAACGGCCCACCAAGGCGAGCGAUCAGUAGCUGGUCUGAGAGGAUGAUCAGCCUCACUGGGACUGAGACACGGCCCAGAAUCCUACGGGAGGCAGCAGUGGG
This 309-nucleotide ribosomal RNA is filed under the name uncultured Hyphomicrobiales bacterium. RNAcentral describes it as "bacterial SSU rRNA". It matches the Rfam family "Bacterial small subunit ribosomal RNA", at positions 20 to 358 of the family's 1533-position model. Lineage: Bacteria; Pseudomonadati; Pseudomonadota; Alphaproteobacteria; Hyphomicrobiales. The record is from RNAcentral.